RNAcentral lists this ribosomal RNA (405 nucleotides) under uncultured archaeon. RNAcentral describes it as "bacterial SSU rRNA". It matches the Rfam family "Archaeal small subunit ribosomal RNA", at positions 446 to 850 of the family's 1478-position model. The record is from RNAcentral.
GCAAGUUCUGGUGUCAGCCGCCGCGGUAAAACCAGCACCUCAAGUGGUCAGGAUGAUUAUUGGGCCUAAAGCAUCCGUAGCCGGUUCUGUAAGUUUUCGGUUAAAUCUGUACGCUCAACGUACAGGCUGCCGGGAAUACUGCAAAGCUAGGGAGUGGGAGAGGUAGACGGUACUCGGUAGGAAGGGGUAAAAUCCUUUGAUCUAUUGAUGACCACCUGUGGCGAAGGCGGUCUACCAGAACACGUCCGACGGUGAGGGAUGAAAGCUGGGGGAGCAAACCGGAUUAGAUACCCGGGUAGUCCCAGCUGUAAACUAUGCAAACUCAGUGAUGCAUUGGCUUGUGGCCAAUGCAGUGCUGCAGGGAAGCCGUUAAGUUUGCCGCCUGGGAAGUACGUACGCAAGUAU